UACGUAGGGGGCAAGCGUUGUCCGGAAUCAUUGGGCGUAAAGCGCGUGUAGGCGGUUCGGUAAGUCUGCUGUGAAAGUCCAGGGCUCAACCCUGGGAUGCCGGUGGAUACUGUCGGACUGGAGUACGGAAGAGGCGAGUGGAAUUCCCGGUGUAGCGGUGAAAUGCGCAGAUAUCGGGAGGAACACCAAUUGCGAAGGCAGCUCGCUGGGACGUUACUGACGCUGAGACGCGAAAGCGUGGGGAGCAAACAGG
This 253-nucleotide ribosomal RNA is filed under the name uncultured bacterium. RNAcentral describes it as "partial 16S ribosomal RNA". It matches the Rfam family "Bacterial small subunit ribosomal RNA", at positions 524 to 776 of the family's 1533-position model. The record is from RNAcentral.